Oreochromis niloticus (Nile tilapia) is the source of this 3192-nucleotide long non-coding RNA. The record is from Ensembl. NCBI's taxonomy places the organism in Eukaryota, Metazoa, Chordata, Actinopteri, Cichliformes, Cichlidae.
GCAAUGAUAAACUGAAGUUCUUUGGAAUGUGGAUACAUUUGGGGAUUGAUGGAUUUUCCAGGAAGGUUCUAUGGCUAAAGGUGGGCACAUCCAACCGCAAACAAAACUUUGUGGCCAGAUACUUCUUUGAGGCUGUUCAAGAACAGGGUGGUAUGCAAUAUACUUAAAAAAGGGGGUUAAAAAAAGAUUACAUUUUGGUUAUAAAUUUAUUUUUUCAUCAUUCACUAAUUAUCUUCAGUUUGUGUCUUUAGGCUGUCCUCAAAUGAUUCGGGGGACAGAGGAAAGGAGAACCUUGUUGUUGGAGAGAGCUGAAUGUUUUAACAGUAUUUUAAAGCGGACAUGGAUUAAGAAAUGGCUGACAACAUUUGAGGCCAUGAUGGAGUCUGGGAUCCUUGAACUGGACAAUCCUGUGCACAUCAACUGCUUGCAGUACUCACACUUGCCACUGCUUCAAAGAGACUUAAAAACGGAGCAAACAGUUUGGAACACCCAUGACAUCCGCAAGCAACGCAAUGCACCAGGUCCAUUUGGGAAACCCGACCUUCUGUUUACCUCACCACCUCCUGGAUAUGGCAAUGUGCUGCACAUAGUUGACCAGACCUUUUAGACUACGCCAAGCAAUUAAUCUGUGAGGUGGAAGAGCCUUCACUGGUAGCAAACCAGGAAUUCAGAGACAUGUGCCAGAACAUUUUAGAAAACAGCCAAUUUCCCUGCACACCUGAUGGUUGCCUUGCUGCAUACCUCAUGCUAGUCCAAGAGCUGACAACUGCCAUGAACAGAAAUGCAGUUCCUACACCUUCUACGUUUGCAGAGGCAAAUGACAUAUACAUCUUUCUGAAGAGACAGAGGAUGGAAGGUGCACCAGUAAACAUUUCCAAUGACCAAUAAAAUCAUACAACAUUGUUUGUUAACAUUUAUUUAUCCUUGUUUACAAUCAACAGGUAAUUUGAAAACUGUCUGACCAACAAAAUGUACAAUAAAAUGUUGAAAAACAAUUGACAAGGUGCCAUCUUUCAUAAUGAUUCAGUGUUUCAUUUAACACAACUUUUGUUAACCCUAAUGUAUAACAUAAUUAACAUUGAAAGACUUUUGAACUGCAGACUGUAGCAACAUUACCACUUGUAGCCAUAUCGGCUUGUAAGAUCAAGGCCUGACUUGAGAAACUUAACAACAUCAGAUGCGGAAGGCCUUGAGUCUGGGUCAUAGCUCACCAAACCACCAAGAAAACUGUGUUUGUCACUGAGAUGUGAUAGGGCAUGUGGUGGGUUUUGGUGGCCAUUAGUGCAGCCAGUUCUCUUUGUUUUUUAACAGUCCACGGAGCGGACCCGUCAGGAUCUCCAGAUAUGUGGCUCCGAGGGACCACAUGUCUGUCUGGAACGAGGCCUCUUCAAACAUCAGUAUGCAUUCAGGAGCCAUGUAAAGAUAUGUGCCACCAGCUGGACCAAUAACCUGGGCAGUGAACUUACUCCCUUGACGAAGCAUCACAGUGUCUCUUAUGUUUGCCAUGCCCCAGUCUGUCAGGACUGCCUUCUUAGAAGGGUGGUGAACCUAUAAGGUAUACACACGAGAACUUAUCAGGUUGUCUUAAAUCUCACAAAUGUUAUCAAAACUGUCAUUCCAAAGACCACAGCUCAUAAUUGAAAAAAAAAAACCCCUCAAAGCUUUUAGCACCCAGAUCACCCAACCACUGCAGAUUUAUUCUGAGAUUGUUUAUUAUACCUAACAUUGAAAUUAACAGAUUGGAUAAUGAUCAAACACGGUUUUAUAGUCCUGUUCUUUUUUUUUAUCCCCAUUCCACUUAAGAAAGUGGUACAGACUAAUAGAACAAUAGAAAAAUUCAGUUUGUAAAGCCUAAACUUAUUACAACAUGUUUGGGAAUUUUGUAGGUGUGCAACAACCAACAUAUUAAAGAAACAAUGUAAGGCUUCCUACUUAAAAAAAAGUCCUUUAUAUGAAUAUACCAGAACAGUUCCUCGUUGAAAUGUAGUGUUUAAUAGACUGAAGAGAAUAAAGUUCAAUAAAGAAAAAUUCAGUAUGGCUUAUGUAGAAAUGUUUAGCUUAUUUUAGAGCUUAGACAUGUAGGAAUGUUUAGUUUUUUAGAGUUUAGAAAUAUGUUAACUUAGAAUGUAGAAUUAUUGUAAAGACACUGACACUGCCCUCAAUGUAAUAAAGGCCUGAUUGUGUCAUGAACUUAGAAGUAGAUUUUAUGAGGCCCUCCCCCAUUUGAGCUGUGAAACUAAGACAAAGAGGAGUUGAUAAGUGGAAAUUCCUCAGGGUAUACUUAGGAGGGGGUUUCAACAUUUGUGACUUGAUAACGGUGGUCUGGAACGGAGAUGGGUUUUUAUGACAUCCGGGAAGUCACUACAUUGAGACACACACCUGCAGUGCUUUACUUUACGCACCCACACCCACAUGCACACUCACUCACGUGUAUGAGUGAGUGUGCAUGAGUGAGUGUAUGUGCGCAUACCUGUGUGUAUACACAGGUAUGCGCACAUAGUCACUCACGAACACUCACGUAGGUACGUGGGAGCGCGCACAUGUAGGCAUUCACGUGCUCGCACACACACAAACAUGUAAACAUGGUGAUUAGUUUUAUGGCACCUCGUAGAGGGGUUAGAAGGGGGGUCACUUAUACAAAACUGCAUGUAACGGACAAAGGAGUUGAGAUCUGCAGAGGAAGUCCGGGGUUCUGUACAUCUCCCUUCUAUAAGCUAUAAUCAAUAAGUGUGUAUUAAUAAAAUAUUGUUAAUUGACUACUCUGAGUCCCGGUGUUUUUUCUGGAAGCCUGACGAAUACACGAACUGUGGUGAAACUGCUUUUUGCAACACUUACCAUGACAUUUGCUGGCUUUAUAUCCUGGUGAAUGAUUCUCUGUGCAUGGAUGUACUCUACUGCCAUGGAUAAGUCCAGUGAUAUGAAACCGGCAUCAUCCCCUUCAAGCUAUCAAGACAAUAUAUAAUGGGACCUAAGACCAACAAGUCAAUGUUUGGAAGUGUCCAUCAAAAAUCCCUGAUUGCAGUCCUCUUGUGAAACUGUAAGCAGAGGUGAAUGGUGUGUGUGAGCAAGGUGGCCAACAAAUCUGACUCAGUUACACCAGUCCUGUCUGGAGGACUGGACCAAAAUCCCUGAAAAAUAUUGUAAGAAUAUUGUAGAAGAAAACCUAAAAUGUCUGAACUCAUCCAUGUAAAA